Molecule: long non-coding RNA, 1249 nt
Filed under: Salmo salar (Atlantic salmon)
Lineage: Eukaryota; Metazoa; Chordata; Actinopteri; Salmoniformes; Salmonidae
Description: lncRNA (ENSSSAG00000107358.1)
Source: RNAcentral
AAGGGAGGGGGGGGUAAUAGUCAUAUACCAUCCUGGUGGUUUCCUAUGGCGCAGUUAAAAGGAAAUGCCCUCCACUUUGACAGGAAGUACUUUCAAUGUCACCUAGCUACCUAAUAGACGAAUGUAAAUCUCUGGAUAUUCUGCUAGCGAUACUGGCUAGGUGUGGGGAAUCAUUGAAUUAGGACGGGGGGGGGGUCUCCAACCUCUGAUCAGCUUUUUGGAGAGGAGACAUGACAGGUUACCAGCUCAAUGUUGAUUUCUAGUUUUCAAAUGGGCAACAUCUCCACUGCAACUCUCUGGGUCCUAAAUUCAGUCCAACUCUCUUCUGGGUCUUAAAUUCACUCUCUACGGUACACUUCUGUCAAAAUGACGGUUAAACUAAGUAGGCCUUAUUUGUAAUUCAGUGUUCUGGAUUUAUUUUUCACUCCAACUCCAACCUUGGGUUUUUGAAGAACAAGACUUGUGUAAUUAUCCUUUGACUAUUUCCUGUUCUGGACAUGAUGCUUCUCUACUGUUGCUCUUUAAAUGGCAAAGUUUCAAAUGGAUACAGGUGAUAUUUCUGCCAGGUAAGUGAACUUAACGGUUAAUAUUAAAUUGGUAAGUGCGUCGACACAAAGGUUUGGCGUGUUGAUUAGCUGGGAGUUUGAGAUUUAAUGACGAUGUGAAAAGUGCAUGUACUUUACAGAAUUUUUUUUUUUUUUUUUUUGGUGGAGCUACUCGGGUUGGGCAUGUUAAAUCAGUUUCUGGACCACAGGUACUAGAACAGCUUCUAUACCAGUUCUAUCUGCCUGUUAAAUCAGUUUCUGGACCACCGGUUCUAGAACAGCUUCUAUCCCAGUUCUAUCUGCCUGUUAAAUCAGUUUCUGGACCACAGGUUCUAGAACAGCUUCUAUCCCAGUUCUAUCUGCCUGUUAAAUCAGUUUCUGGACCACAGGUUCUAGAACAGCUUCUAUCCCAGUUCUAUCUGCCUGUUAAAUCAGUUUCUGGACCACAGGUUCUAGAACAGCUUCUAUCCCAGUUCUAUCUGCCUGUUAAAUCAGUUUCUGGACCACAGGUUCUAGAACAGCUUCUAUCCCAGUUCUAUCUGCCUGUUAAAUCAGUUUCUGGACCACAGGUUCUAGAACAGCUUCUAUCCCAGUUCUAUCUGCCUGUUAAAUCAGAUUAACUGGAGACUCCUGCAUAUCAAAUGUUUUUUUAUAGCAAAGUACAUGUGUGAGUCAAUAUAUAGGACUAUUAUUCAACCCCCCCC